GGCUUGAGAUGUUCGGGGGCGAGUCAGCCAGAUAAACCUGAACUAGCUGGCCUUAAAUCCUGCAUCAGGGAGUUAUUAACAGCGAACAAGGAUGAAGAAUCCAAGAAAGCUGAUGACAAGCAUGUAGUAGCUUCUAUUGAGAUGCUUUCGGACGCGGGUUCGAUUCCCGCCACCUCCACCA
This 181-nucleotide transfer-messenger RNA is filed under the name Candidatus Krumholzibacteriia bacterium. RNAcentral describes it as "partial transfer-messenger RNA". It matches the Rfam family "transfer-messenger RNA", at positions 207 to 374 of the family's 374-position model. Rfam says of the family: Bacterial tmRNA, also known as 10Sa RNA or SsrA, is named for its dual tRNA and mRNA-like properties. Its role is to liberate the mRNA from a stalled ribosome. The record is from RNAcentral. Lineage: Bacteria; Candidatus Krumholzibacteriota; Candidatus Krumholzibacteriia.